Molecule: non-coding RNA, 839 nt
Filed under: Leocrates chinensis
Lineage: Eukaryota; Metazoa; Annelida; Polychaeta; Phyllodocida; Hesionidae
Description: 12S ribosomal RNA
Rfam family: Bacterial small subunit ribosomal RNA
Source: RNAcentral
UCAUAGCUUGACUUUGGCUAUUAAAUUCUCUUCCUUCCUUAACUUACACAUGCAAGCUCCAGCAACCCCGUGAUUAGGCCAUUAUUAUCUCAGCAGAUUAAUCCUGAAUUAAAUCUAAUAAUGGCUUACACUAAACUAAUUAAAAAUGUGCAAGUACCCUCACGCCUGCAGUGAUGAACUCUGAGGACCAUUACAACAGUAAGACCCGGAAAUGGAAAACAAGGGCUGAUUAAAUUCGUGCCAGCAAUCGCGGUUAAACGAUGGGCCCUAGAGAAUUCAGUCGGGAAUAUUCCUAGGACAUAAACCUCCUAUCCAAGAGGUCCAAUUUGUCAAUAUCUUAACUACUCCAUUAAGUCCUCGCCUUAAAUGAAAGCUCAGACCAAAACAAGGAUUAGAUACCCUUUUAUCCUAAGCCCUAAAUCUAGCCCGGGGAGUAAAAGCACAUGCUCGAAACCUAAAAAACUUGGCGGUGCCCCAUCCUACCAGGGGAACCUGUUUCAUAAACCGAUAAUCCACGAUGUAACUAACCUAAACUUGAUCUCAGCCUGUGUACUGCCGUCGCAUGCUUACCUUGCAAAAGUUUUAGUAAGCAAAUCUGAUUAAAUCACCUACGUCAGGUCGAAGUGCAGCCUAUGUUUAGGAGACAAUGGGUUACAUUUUGAAAAGUCCGUAUAGAUUCAAUAAUUUACAUCUAAAAGUAGGACUUGGUAGUAUAUACAAACUAAUAUGUUAUAUAGAAUGAGGUAAUCUGGGGUGUGCACACAUCGCCCGUCGCUCCCGCCGAAAGGGGGGAUAAGUCGUAACAUAGUGGGUGUAACGGAAGUUGUACCUCAAGGUAA